CAGUAGCCACGGGAAAACGGAGGGUGCAAGCGUUAAUCGGAAUUACUGGGCGUAAAGCGUGCGUAGGCGGUUCGUUAAGUCUGUUGUGAAAGCCCCGGGCUCAACCUGGGAAUGGCAAUGGAUACUGGCGAGCUAGAGUGUGUCAGAGGAUGGUGGAAUUCCCGGUGUAGCGGUGAAAUGCGUAGAGAUCGGGAGGAACAUCAGUUGCGAAGGCGGCCAUCUGGGACAACACUGACGCUGAGGCACGAAAGCGUGGGGAGCAAACAGGAUUAGAUACCCCCGUAGUCCCUGUCUCUUAUAC
RNAcentral lists this ribosomal RNA (301 nucleotides) under uncultured bacterium. RNAcentral describes it as "partial 16S ribosomal RNA". It matches the Rfam family "Bacterial small subunit ribosomal RNA", at positions 509 to 807 of the family's 1533-position model. The record is from RNAcentral.